GGCUGUGUGGUCUUGUGGUAUGAUUCUCGCUUUGGGAGCGAGAGGUCUUGAGUUCGAUUCUCGACUCAGCCC
This 72-nucleotide transfer RNA is filed under the name Perkinsus olseni. It matches the Rfam family "tRNA". Rfam says of the family: Transfer RNA (tRNA) molecules are approximately 80 nucleotides in length. Their secondary structure includes four short double-helical elements and three loops (D, anti-codon, and T loops). Lineage: Eukaryota; Perkinsozoa; Perkinsida; Perkinsidae. The record is from Rfam by way of RNAcentral.